This is a long non-coding RNA of Mytilus californianus (California mussel), 397 nucleotides long. RefSeq lists it as uncharacterized. Lineage: Eukaryota; Metazoa; Mollusca; Bivalvia; Mytilida; Mytilidae. The record is from RefSeq and is a predicted model, not a curated record. The transcript is spliced from 3 exons.
UAGUUUUCCAUCUGAUCAGGCUUUUCACACAGACAGUAAAACAUGGAAAGCUGCUUCUGAUAGAUGUGGCAAUAAUGGAUUAGAGUUUGACGAAAAGACGUUGAAGAAUAUUGCCAUGCUGCAAGAUAAAGAAUUUUGGAUUGGAAUGGCUAUUUACCGUAUAACUACAUCAUGGAUUGAAAUUCUAGGUUGUUAUUCAGUGCCAGACAGACAGGAUACUAAGAACAGUCCUUCAAUCGUAUCAUGCCAAAAACAAUGUGAAUCAUAUCAGUUCUUUGGUUACAGUGAGUCAACAAAGAAAUGUUUUUGUCAACAUAAUCAUGAUAAUGAACGGAACUCCUACAAUAUAAGUGGUUGCAUAAAAGAAAAUGAUUCGAACUAUUACUUCAUUUAUAAA